RNAcentral lists this long non-coding RNA (1107 nucleotides) under Gallus gallus (chicken). RNAcentral's name for it is "long non-coding RNA NONGGAT004828". The record is from RNAcentral. Lineage: Eukaryota; Metazoa; Chordata; Aves; Galliformes; Phasianidae.
GUAAAUAUGAGCCGCCAGAAGAAACGCUGCAAUACAAAACAGAAACACAUGUACGGGCAGGAAAAAAAAAUGCAAAAAGAAGAGAACAAAAAAAAAAAAAAAAAAGAACUUCAGAGAGGAAGAGGCUGCAAAGUCCGGUGGUGCACAGACAGCUCCAUCUUUAGGACAGGAAGACUACAGGAGGGAAGGAAGAUACACCCCUCCUCGUUAUUACUGAGAUUUUGCCAAGGAGAGAUUCCCUUUGCAACAAUUUUGCAGGAGGUGGGUGCAUGCAUGCUCCCCAGUCCUCCCCAGCAGUUGCAUUUUCACACAGCAGCAAUGGAUGGACAAUUCUGGGACCUGCUUCCAGGGGCUGGUGGUGGGCAAUGCGUCGUGCACCACCGCCUGCAACUGCUGCAAAACACUGCAGAAUGCCAAACCCAUGCGAAGCUGCAUUUUGAAGAGGAGUAACUCUUCAGUGGUGCAAAAAGGAAAAAUGAAGUUGCUUACUGAAUCAUCUGUGCCACAUCUCGGAGCACGAUUUGUAGACCAAAAGCAAAACAGAGGCAGGAAAAUGCUUUCAGAUUGGCACCAAGAUGCCUGCGCAAUGCCGGGCUUUGCAAAAGGCUUUUGCAGAGCAGCAAUAUCUCCUUGUUGCUGCUGCUGGGUUGGGUUUCAGCGCACAGUUGCACUGAGGCCAAGUUCCUCCCAUUUACCUUCACAGCCCACAGCAGCUAUUUUCCCAUAAUAUCCCAUGCUGGCAACGUCAUGCUGCAUUUUGAGGCACCUUGUCCUAACUCUGAUAGAAGUCAGUGCUGGAAAUGGAAAGAUUUGUUUGCAGGAAUGCAGGGACCCUGUUCAUCUGGGGGUUCCAGGAUGCAAUCUUAAAGGCAUGAUUAACAGAAUACUGGCUGCUUGACUCUAAAAAUGUGUUUUUUUUUCCCCAAAGUGCUAAUGAAGUUAUAAAGGGGUUGGGUGGAGGGGUGGAUUCCAAGGCACAAAGUGAAUCCCAUUUCUUUAGGGCUUUUUACCCCUACCUUGGCCAGAUCCUGCGGUAGGAUUGGAUCGAGGAAUCCUCAGUUCCAAAGAGUUGUUCCCUUUUUGGCAAAGGUGGCCACUCUGGUUGCG